CACAGAGUAGAAACUGUUUCGUGAAGUGUUCUUUGAACGGGGAGUUGUCAAAGAAACGAAAGGAUUACCUGCGGUUACAGUUUCGCAUCCCGCUGUU
Molecule: non-coding RNA, 97 nt
Organism: Eubacterium sp. CAG:581
Lineage: Bacteria; Bacillati; Bacillota; Clostridia; Eubacteriales; Eubacteriaceae
Source: Rfam